Long non-coding RNA from Echinops telfairi (small Madagascar hedgehog), 257 nucleotides. RefSeq lists it as uncharacterized. The transcript has 2 exons. The record is from RefSeq and is a predicted model, not a curated record. Lineage: Eukaryota; Metazoa; Chordata; Mammalia; Afrosoricida; Tenrecidae.
CUUGUUCGCACCGCCUCUGCAGUGAAAAGCCUAGGUUUUGUUCAAGACAGCUGACCAGAACCUGACUUCAGAUGUGCACGAGAAACAUGACCUUGUCCCAAAGCUACCUCGGAAUGAUGGAACUCGUGUCAAGAGACCAGUAGUCAUCCCAAGUACAUCCUACUGUGCUACUGGACCCACUUCCAAAUCAAGACCUAGCCCAGCUCCUUAUGAAUUGUGCAUGGCCCCUUUUAUAAAUAUGUGUAACUGCCCCCAGA